Long non-coding RNA from Antechinus flavipes (yellow-footed antechinus), 628 nucleotides. RefSeq lists it as uncharacterized. NCBI's taxonomy places the organism in Eukaryota, Metazoa, Chordata, Mammalia, Dasyuromorphia, Dasyuridae. The transcript has 3 exons. The record is from RefSeq and is a predicted model, not a curated record.
AGCCACCUGUGUGCUUGUCCAUCCGCUCUCUUCUUACUCUCACCCCUUUGCAGAGGAAAUGAAGUUUUUAUGUCCUCUAGCCGCAACAAUGAGGAGAAGUGGACAAAGGGCUUCUUUAUAGUCUUUCCCCCUUCCCCUAUGUCCUGUCUGUGGCCAAAGGGCAAGUAUAAAGUUGUGUUUUGGAGUCCUACAAGAGGAAAUCCUAAUCAUCAAUCUUCCCUGGGUCAUUCAGGCAGGACACUAAUGAGCUAUGGAACUGGGCUACAAAUGCUCAGAGAUGGAAACUUUCUAACUAAAGAUCAAUCAAUCAUUAUGUGUUUUCCUAUAUGGCCAUCAGAAGACAGAUCUACAUGCAGGCACAUAUGAGAAAACUGAGGCUCAAAAAUAGUGGUCAUGCUAUCUUGUCUACAGAAUCGCCCAACUACUAAAUUCUGAAAUCAAGGAAGCAAGAUAAUCAAGAGAAAGCCAGUCAUGAGUUACUGUUUUCAUGAAGAUCUUUUUUGUGAUCUUAUUAAAUGUCAAAUUAUAGCAUCCUUGGAACCUCCCUGCCCUUGUCCGUGUGCCCAAUAAUCAAACUAUUGUUAUCCUACCACCAAAAUACAAAAUAAACAAACAGGCAAAAAAGUAU